This is a transfer RNA of Microdochium bolleyi, 117 nucleotides long. It matches the Rfam family "tRNA". From Rfam's summary of the family: Transfer RNA (tRNA) molecules are approximately 80 nucleotides in length. Their secondary structure includes four short double-helical elements and three loops (D, anti-codon, and T loops). Further hydrogen bonds mediate the characteristic L-shaped molecular structure. tRNAs have two regions of fundamental functional importance: the anti-codon, which is responsible for specific mRNA codon recognition, and the 3' end, to which the tRNAs corresponding amino acid is attached (by aminoacyl-tRNA synthetases). tRNAs cope with the degeneracy of the genetic code in two manners: having more than one tRNA (with a specific anti-codon) for a particular amino acid; and 'wobble' base-pairing, i.e. permitting non-standard base-pairing at the 3rd anti-codon position. Lineage: Eukaryota; Fungi; Ascomycota; Sordariomycetes; Xylariales; Microdochiaceae. The record is from Rfam.
GGCUCAGUGGUCUAGUCGUAUGAUUGCUGCUUCGGGAGUCCAAUCCCGCUCUGGAACACAUCCAGAGUUGUCUCUACAAAAUGUAGCAGGUCCCGGGUUCAAAUCCCGGCUGAGCCC